Molecule: ribosomal RNA, 889 nt
Filed under: uncultured bacterium
Lineage: Bacteria
Description: bacterial SSU rRNA
Rfam family: Bacterial small subunit ribosomal RNA
Source: RNAcentral
UCCGGAUUUAUNGGGCGUAAAGCGAGCGCAGGCGGUUAGAUAAGUCUGAAGUUAAAGGCUGUGGCUUAACCAUAGUACGCUUUGGAAACUGUUUAACUUGAGUGCAGAAGGGGAGAGUGGAAUUCCAUGUGUAGCGGUGAAAUGCGUAGAUAUAUGGAGGAACACCGGUGGCGAAAGCGGCUCUCUGGUCUGUAACUGACGCUGAGGCUCGAAAGCGUGGGGAGCGAACAGGAUUAGAUACCCUGGUAGUCCACGCCGUAAACGAUGAGUGCUAGGUGUUAGGCCCUUUCCGGGGCUUAGUGCCGCAGCUAACGCAUUAAGCACUCCGCCUGGGGAGUACGACCGCAAGGUUGAAACUCAAAGGAAUUGACGGGGGCCCGCACAAGCGGUGGAGCAUGUGGUUUAAUUCGAAGCAACGCGAAGAACCUUACCAGGUCUUGACAUCCCGAUGCCCGCUCUAGAGAUAGGGUUUUACUUCGGUACAUCGGUGACAGGUGGUGCAUGGUUGUCGUCAGCUCGUGUCGUGAGAUGUUGGGUUAAGUCCCGCAACGAGCGCAACCCUUAUUGUUAGUUGCCAUCAUUCAGUUGGGCGCUCUAGCGAGACUGCCGGUAAUAAACCGGAGGAAGGUGGGGAUGACGUCAAAUCAUCAUGCCCCUUAUGACCUGGGCUACACACGUGCUACAAUGGCUGGUACAACGAGUCGCAAGUCGGUGACGGCAAGCUAAUCUCUUAAAGCCAGUCUCAGUUCGGAUUGUAGGCUGCAACUCGCCUACAUGAAGUCGGAAUCGCUAGUAAUCGCGGAUCAGCACGCCGCGGUGAAUACGUUCCCGGGCCUUGUACACACCGCCCGUCACACCACGAGAGUUUGUAACACCCGAAGUCGGUGAG